This is a long non-coding RNA of Leopardus geoffroyi (Geoffroy's cat), 1532 nucleotides long. RefSeq lists it as uncharacterized. The record is from RefSeq and is a predicted model, not a curated record. The transcript is spliced from 10 exons. Lineage: Eukaryota; Metazoa; Chordata; Mammalia; Carnivora; Felidae.
GACCAACACCUCUGGGUCAUCGCUGCCUACGAGGCCCUCCAUUUUCCCACGUGAGCCUGUGCGGCCAUUAGCCCAAUGUCCUCCAGCUCAUUCCUCUUUCUGCCACAUUCUGACCUCUGGAAAAUUAGGUCUGUUAAUACUUUGGGACGUUUGUCCUAAUGAUAGUUCUGAACUGAUUUAGAUAAGAAAGAAUGCAUAUAAUUUUAAACAAUUUCUUUUAUCAUGCAUGAUAUAUUUAUCCAUCGUCAUAACUGAAUGAGAAGAAGAAAGGGCGUUCGUCAUCAAGUGAGGAAAGAAAUAUUUUCACCAUUAGCAAAAAAGCUGUAUAUUUGGUAAGCACCUAACUGCAUAUCAAAGAGACUUACACAUCUUGUUUCUUGUCUUUGAGGAGCUGCCCGUUCUGAGAGGAAAUCAUGUAAAUGAAGCAGGAACUUUGGCAUAAAGAACGAUAGCUCCACGAGGACUGGGAUCUUUGUGGUUUUGCUAUAUUCACCCCACAGCGAAUCCAGUGUGUGUGGCGGUGUGAUUCCUUUCUGCCACGCUAACUCACUCUGCAGCAGUUUCCGUGGGUGAGGAAUCCAGCCCAGCCUGACUGAAUGCCUCUCUUCAGAGUCUCUCCCAAGUCUGCAAUCAAGGGGUCAGCCAGGAUGGCAGCCUUCUCAAGGCUCAACGAGGGGAGGAUCCAAUUCCAAGGAUGAAAUGGAUUCUAGAGAUGGCUGAUUGUAAUGGCUACACAACAAAAUGAAUGCACUUAGGUCUUGAAAACUCCAGAACAUCACAGGCAACCUGCCCAAGUUUCCUGAGGGAGAAGCCAGACCAGGAGAGACUUUGUCGUCAUGAUUCCUACAAGGACCAACAAUUGAGAACCUGGCAGUAUUUGCACAUAUUGUAGGAACGAAAAAGAAAGGAGCAAAUGGACACAAUCACCUCCAAAAAGUGAUAACAUUCAGUAAUAAGAUGACACUGGCUGACAUUCAGAAGACAUUGGAUAUCUUCUCUUCUAGGGCUUGGAAUUUUUCUACCCAGCUAAGAAGGCAACAACCCCAAGAUCCCUCCAUGGAAAUGGCGCUGAGUGUAUGAUCCUGCAGACAUCUUGCCACCAAGGGAAUACCUGCCUGAGAAGGACCAGAAGGAGAAAGUGGAGCCCAAUACAGAAGGAGUGGGGACCUAACGAUAUACUUUCAGGUGUCUCUCAGGGUCUCAGGUUUCCUGAUUGAAAUGUGCCGAAGCAAUUGAAAUGUGGUACCUCAGUGAAUUACUGUCAGACACCGUAACCUUUAGACCAGCUAGAAUCUUGUCGUGAGAGGAGACCGUGUACGUUGGUGAAAGUUUAGAAUAAAGAAUCCCCCUUAUUCAAUCAACUAACAAAGACCCAUGGAGUACCCCGGUGGGGUCCCCAAAGAAGAUGCAAAGAAGAAAAAUACAAUCUUUGCCCUGAAGGAGUCGUCAUCUUUUGAGGAAACAAAACAUCAUGUCAUAGUUAUACUGUAGUGAGCUCAAGCUCUCAAACCCAAUAAAAUAUGGGAUAUUCA